Long non-coding RNA from Vigna unguiculata (cowpea), 1674 nucleotides. The record is from RefSeq and is a predicted model, not a curated record. NCBI's taxonomy places the organism in Eukaryota, Viridiplantae, Streptophyta, Magnoliopsida, Fabales, Fabaceae.
GCAAAUUCUUUUAACUCUGAAAAUGUUUUCUUACGAAAACCCUUGAACCAAAUCCUCCUUUCAUGAACCCUUUCCGGACAACCACUGUUGCGGCCCCUUUGUUUACCUCACCCGCGUUGGAACCUAGACGAUGCCUUGAUCUCCGGCGACGAUGACAGAAAUUUUGCUCUCUUCCUCUUCCCCUAUCUCCACCAUCUCCGAUCCCCUCACCUCUUCACCGACGACGAAGUUAGGGAUUGUCUUCCCUGUCGUCUCAAAUGCUUGGCGAUUACGAUAGUAGCGACAACGAGGAGGCGAGUGGCCGCCCAUUUUCGUCGCCUAGUUCAGAAACGUUUAGAUUAUUGGUUCUGGUUGCUUCUCAGAACAUUCUCUCUUGCCGGUCUUAUUUUGUUCUUCAUGCAACAUCAUCAUCGUGAAUCGCAUACAACGCCCCUUUCUGGGGCACUCUGGGCAUCUGGAAUUGGAGCAUCACUCGUGACUUAUUCAUGCAAAAAGUCGCCAAUGAAGACUAGCCUCAGCUCAUCCAUGCCAGUUGAAUCUCCAAGCUUUCAACUCCUGAAACUUUUUAUAGCUCCUCUCGGAUUACAAAGAUGAAUGCUUGGUCAAAGAUGAUUGACAACGAAGAACAAAAGUUAAAAGAAAAGGGUUUGGAGGAGAAGAGUUUAGCGAAGCAGAAUGUACAUGGAGGAAAGAAAAUUUGGGAAAAUAGAAGUGAAAGCUCGCGUGGCGUAGGAGAGAGAAACUAAAAUUUUAGAGCGAAGGUUGAGCCAAGUCAGAAUAGGUCGAAGGUCAAGCCAAGUCAGUUCAGACUAGAGGUCGACACGAGUCGGUCCGGACCCUAAGUUGAGUCAUGUCAAACACAAGGACAAAUGACUUUAGUGCAUAGAGAUUUAAGGAAGAUAUUGUAUAGUGACUUGAUGAGGAUAUGAAGAGUUGAUGUAGAUUGAUGAAGACUUGAAGAAAUGUUUUGUUGAUCAAGCUUGAUGUGUGCUUAAUUUGGCUAUUACAUGAAGAUCUUGAAGCUUAACAUGAAGACAAUUUGACAUAGUAUAGGUGUCUUGUGUCUGGUUGUAGUCUUUUAGCUUACUACUAUAUUUCUGUCAUUAACACUUUCAAUCAGUUGAAUUAUUAUUCAAUCAGCUGAUUUCACUUAAGUCAAGUGAAAUCAACAGAUUGAACAAAUAGAUCAACCUAUUGAAUAUGUUAAUAGAUAGACAAUAAAGUCUGGUUUUUUAGAUAGAUCAUUAACAUUUGUGAUUUUGAGCAAGAAAUCAGGGUGAAUAAUUUAGAAAUUUCUUUCUCUCUCUGAACUAUACAAAUCUAUAGUUAUUCGUGAGGUGUUCUUUGUAAUUUUGAUAGCGGUUUACUUGGUAUAAGAGACUUGGAGAAAAGGUUCGAUUGGCUAAGGAGAUUCACACCAAGGUUUAGUCUUUCUCAAGUUUUUUGGUGUUAUUGGUGUGAUUGCAGAUUUGCAAGUGAGAUUCUUAUUGUGAUUUGUUGAGAUUAUUGUGGGAUUAUAGAGUCUUGGUGUAAUUUCACGUUUUCAAAAGUGUAAUCUUGGUGGCUUUUGUAAAACUUUUGGUAUAGUGGUGUGUCAGGCUAAGGUUGCCUUGACAAAUUGAAUGUAACUCAAUUUUGAGUGAACUAAUAAAAAUUUUGUGUGCACUUGUCUAA